RNAcentral lists this long non-coding RNA (654 nucleotides) under Calidris pugnax (ruff). RNAcentral's name for it is "lncRNA (ENSCPUG00000001364.1)". Lineage: Eukaryota; Metazoa; Chordata; Aves; Charadriiformes; Scolopacidae. The record is from RNAcentral.
GAUGCAGGUGAAGACAAGAUCUGGUCCUGUAGCCUGCCUCCAAAACAGCUGUAUCCAUGUCCUGUGGAAGGGACAACAUAACCAGAUCUUUCUUAUUCAAGAGUGUGAUUGAAGGACCCCUCACACUGCACCUGGAUCUGGUAAAAGGCUUGAUCACUUCAGCUGCACUGAGUCACACUCUGGCUUCUGAGAACAAUGUAAUGGAAAAUGUGCAACCAGUGUACAUAGCUAAUCAUUUCCUAACGUGCUGCUGCAGUGCCCUGUGUAAAGGCACCCUGAGAACACAGCCAGGACAUACCCCAGCAACACAGCUGGUGCAUCCUACAGCCUGCACCUUACUAUUCCUGUUGCUGUCAUCCCUGGGCACAGCUGGGAAGCAGGGAGAGCUGGGACCACAGAUGCACUGGAGGAGAUGCUCGGAGCCCCAGGCAGAAUUCUGGAUCAUGGUUGUUUUCAGCUCUCAGAUAUUUGGUAGAGAUGGAGAAGAUGGCACCUUGUGCAUCUGUGAGAGGCAGGGACCCCGGCCACCAGCCAUGGCCAGAUCCCUGACCUGGGAGCUCUGCACAGGAAAAGGUAAGAAAACAGCCUUUCCAAACGAUGGGUUUCAGGCCAGUGGCACCAUCAUCCUUUCAGAGUCCAACUGCAAGGGCAGAG